GACGAACGCUGGCGGCGUGCCUAACACAUGCAAGUCGAACGGACAGGCCCUGCUUUUGUGCGGUUCUCGAGUGGCGAACGGGUGAGUAACACGUGAGUAUCCUGUCCUUGACUGUCGGAUAACUUCACGAAACUGGGGCUAAUACCGCAUAGGAUCUCUUGCCGCAUGGGGUGCGUUGGUAAGUUUCGGCUGUUGGGGAUGGAAUAGCGGCUUACGAGCUUGAUGGGGAGGUAGUGGCGUACCAAGGCUUUGACGGGUAGCCGACCUGGGAGGGUGACCGGCCACAUUACGCCUGAGGUACGCCCCAGACUCGUAUGGGCGGCAGCGGGGGAGAGUCUUGCACAGCAGGCCGGCGCGUGAUGUAAAAGUGCCCCGAGCGGAAUGACGUGCUUCGGGUUGUGAACCGAUUUCGACUGAGCCGAAGCGUUCGUGACGGUACCGGGUCAAGAAGCACCGGCUAACUACGUG
This 468-nucleotide ribosomal RNA is filed under the name uncultured bacterium. RNAcentral's name for it is "partial 16S ribosomal RNA". It matches the Rfam family "Bacterial small subunit ribosomal RNA", at positions 28 to 507 of the family's 1533-position model. The record is from RNAcentral.